This 254-nucleotide ribosomal RNA is filed under the name uncultured bacterium. RNAcentral's name for it is "partial 16S ribosomal RNA". It matches the Rfam family "Bacterial small subunit ribosomal RNA", at positions 524 to 776 of the family's 1533-position model. The record is from RNAcentral.
UACGGGGGGGGGCAAGCGUUGUUCGGAAUUACUGGGCGUAAAGGGCUCGUAGGCGGCCAACUAAGUCAUACGUGAAAUCCCUGGGCUCAACCCAGGAACUGCACUCGAAACUUCUUUUCUUGAGUGCCGGAGAGGAAAGCGGAAUUCCUGGUGUAGAGGUGAAAUUCGUAGAUAUCAGGAGGAACACCAGUGGCGAAGGCGGCUUUCUGGACGGUAACUGACGCUGAGACGCGAAAGCGUGGGGAGCAAACAGG